Molecule: unclassified non-coding RNA, 429 nt
Filed under: Hevea brasiliensis (rubber tree)
Lineage: Eukaryota; Viridiplantae; Streptophyta; Magnoliopsida; Malpighiales; Euphorbiaceae
Source: RNAcentral
CUCUCUCUCUCUCUCUCUCUAAUCAAUAACAAAACUCUGAUACAUAUAAAUUCUAACACUUUAUCAUUACCACACAAAGUUUUUUCCAGCUAAUGGUGCUUUGAAUUGCCAAAAAAAAAAAUCACAAAAAACUACUUUCCAAUACAAAGCCACUAAUAACAAAUAAAUCCCAAAAAAUUUCAGCUAAAUUAGUCUAUAGAUUCCAAGUUAAAUUCUCUAAAAUCAAAAUCACCGCGCAUGUUAAGUGGGUAACAGUUAACACCAAAUUUUGAAGAAAAUGCCAGCAAACAGAACAUUUAAAAGAGGAAAACAAAUACAAAAAGUUGCAGUUACAGAAAGAAAGAGAACGUAAUCGAUCAGUAAUCUAAACUAACCCAAUUGCGAAAUUCUCAACUAAUUAUAAAGCUCAAAGAAUCAGUUCAGAGUUGG